GAAGUGGUGGCUCAGUGGUUAAGGCUUUGGGCUACUGAUCGGAAGGUUAUGAGUUCAAAUCCCAGAAUGUGCCUCG
Molecule: non-coding RNA, 76 nt
Organism: Pangasianodon gigas (Mekong giant catfish)
Lineage: Eukaryota; Metazoa; Chordata; Actinopteri; Siluriformes; Pangasiidae
Source: the annotation of a GenBank genome assembly